Molecule: ribosomal RNA, 254 nt
Filed under: uncultured bacterium
Lineage: Bacteria
Description: partial 16S ribosomal RNA
Rfam family: Bacterial small subunit ribosomal RNA
Source: RNAcentral
UACGGGGGGGGCAAGCGUUGUUCGGAAUUACUGGGCGUAAAGGGCUCGUAGGCGGCCAACUAAGUCAGACGUGAAAUCCCUCGGCUUAACCGGGGAACUGCGUCUGGUACUGGAUGGCUUGAGUUUGGGAGAGGGAUGCGGAAUUCCAGGUGUAGCGGUGAAAUGCGUAGAUAUCUGGAGGAACACCGGUGGCGAAGGCGGCAUCCUGGACCAACACUGACGCUGAGUGAGCGAAAGCCAGGGGAGCAAACGGG